Molecule: ribosomal RNA, 253 nt
Filed under: uncultured bacterium
Lineage: Bacteria
Description: partial 16S ribosomal RNA
Rfam family: Bacterial small subunit ribosomal RNA
Source: RNAcentral
UACGAAGGGGGCUAGCGUUGCUCGGAAUUACUGGGCGUAAAGGGCGCGUAGGCGGCGAUCUCAGUCAGGCGUGAAAGCCCCGGGCUCAACCUGGGAACUGCGCUUGAGACGGGAUUGCUUGAGGGCGAGAGAGGGUGGUGGAAUUCCCAGUGUAGAGGUGAAAUUCGUAGAUAUUGGGAAGAACACCGGUGGCGAAGGCGGCCACCUGGCUCGCACCUGACGCUGAGGCACGAAAGCGUGGGGAGCAAACAGG